AGUGAGGGUAGAGGCGCAAAUGUCAUGAGUAAAGAUGCGGAGGAGAAUGAGCUCCAUUGAUGCAUUUUAAAAGGGGGAUUUGCCGAAGCGUACAAAUGCUCAUUCUUUCUACGCUGGGACUGUAUUUAACAAAUACAGGACUGUCAUGCAGCACUGUCUGCAUGGAGGGCUAUCUCACGC
Molecule: non-coding RNA, 180 nt
Filed under: Alkalihalophilus pseudofirmus
Lineage: Bacteria; Bacillati; Bacillota; Bacilli; Caryophanales; Bacillaceae
Also listed under: 1 other name
Description: Bacillus pseudofirmus Lysine sequence
Rfam family: Lysine riboswitch aptamer
About the family: Riboswitches are metabolite binding domains within certain messenger RNAs that serve as precision sensors for their corresponding targets.
Source: RNAcentral